RNAcentral lists this long non-coding RNA (223 nucleotides) under Homo sapiens (human). Its description in RNAcentral is "HSALNT0017910". Lineage: Eukaryota; Metazoa; Chordata; Mammalia; Primates; Hominidae. The record is from RNAcentral.
AGUUCCAACUGAGGCUGGAUGAGCUGUGGUCAGGGGCUGGGCCUGAGGAGGCGACGGAGGAUGCCGGAAAUGGGUAGAAGGUCUAAUGCAAGCCCAGGCUUCAAAGAAGACCUCCUGGUGGUUCUGAAGUUAAACUCUCCGCCCCUCAACUUCUCACGGGGAAACAGAAGCGGCUACUCUAAGCAUGGAUGAAUACCUGUAAGGCGUUUACCACAGUGCCAGG